RNAcentral lists this ribosomal RNA (218 nucleotides) under Camponotus atriceps. RNAcentral describes it as "partial large subunit ribosomal RNA". Lineage: Eukaryota; Metazoa; Arthropoda; Insecta; Hymenoptera; Formicidae. The record is from RNAcentral.
GAAUUUUAUAUAAAUUUUGAUUGAAGGCUUGUAAAAAUUAGAAUUUAUAUUUGGUUGGGAGGAUUGUUAAAUUUAAUAAACUUUAAUAAUAAAAAACAUUAAUUUAUGAUUUAAAUUUAAUUAAAUGAUUAGGAUUAUAUAAUUCUAUUAAAGAAGUAAUUACCUCAGGGAUAACAGCGUAAUAUUUUUAAAAAGAUCUUAUUGAUAAAAGUGAUUGC